Molecule: long non-coding RNA, 1635 nt
Filed under: Bemisia tabaci
Lineage: Eukaryota; Metazoa; Arthropoda; Insecta; Hemiptera; Aleyrodidae
Description: lncRNA ENSSSA3NGG008011
Source: RNAcentral
GAGGAAACAAGGAAACUUGUUGAAAAAAUGCGUCAGGAAGCAGCUGCAAAACUUUUUGAUGGAACAAUUGAAGAUGAAGGGCAGGCCGCUAAUGGAGCACAAACUGCUGGCACAGGUUCCAGAAUGGUCGGUGGAAAACGAAGAGUAUUUGGAAGCAUGACAGGCGGAGGUGAUGACCUGGGCAGCUCUGAUUCUGACUCUGAUUUGUUUUUUGAUGAUGACGAUAAUGACGAUGAUGAUGAUGAAGACGAUGAUGAUGAUGACGAUGAUGAAGAUGAUGAUGAUGAUGGCAGACAUGAUGAGGAUCAUGACAAGAAUGCAGACAGAGGAGACGGAGAUUAUUAAUCUGAGGAUCAUGACAAGAAUGCAGACAGAGGAGACGGAGAUUAUUAAUCUGAUGAUCCUGGAAUUUUCCAUAAUUCGACGGUGUAAUUCGGCAAUCACAUAACUCGGUUUGCGACGUCGCAGACUUCCUGUUAUACUUUAUUUUUUAAACGGAAAACUACUCAACGGCAAUUCUUUAAAAAUGCUGUGAUUUUUCUUCUCUAUGUGAAGAAAAACUUCAAUGAAUUAUGUCAAUUUGUUGUCUUUUAAAAAAAAUAACAUAGAGACGGAGAUUUUCAGACACCGCAAACGAGUUAUGUGAUUGCCGACUUACACCGUCGAAUUAGUCUGAUAAAAGGUAGCCCAUGGCUGAAACAUUUUCUUUCAGUCAUGAUUGUUUUGUCAUCAAAGAUUUCAAAUGAAGAGAUUUUUUUUUCGUUUGUCUCAAAUUGUCCUCAAGUAUGACCCUCCUCUUGAAUUCUGGCCUUCAAAUUCUUCUUUUUUAUGUAACUAUCUUUAUGAACAUAAACUACUUAAGUUAAACAAAUUAUGGUUUUUUAAAUUAAUAAAGUUUUAGCUAGAAGAUAACAUUAAGUAAUUUGUCAAGUUAAAAUUGAAAUUUAUCAAUCUAGCCUGCUUUGAGACAAAUAUUUAAACUAAAGUACCCAUAUUAAUUAAACUAAAUUUUCUUCGCUCCCUAGUUGUGUUUCUAUCUUUCGUCUAUGCUUUCAUUUCCUUUUAUUAAAGCCGAACAAAUCAACGCUAUUGCUUCAAAUUUUCCUAGACUAUGCUUCACACAAAGAAGAGAGAUUAGGGAAAUUUUCAAGGAAUGACAUUGUAUAUUUUUCCAUUUGAAAAAUAAAGUAAAUAAGACAAGAAGCCUGCAACAUUGCAAACCAAGAUACACAUUCCUGCAGUUUCACUGUCAAUAUUCAUGGGAAUAUUCAUAACACCAACAUUUUAUUUACUUAUUAAUAAAAACGGACAAAAAAGUAGUAAGCACAGCUCCUUAUUGCAAUAUGCAGUCCAUUUUAUUGCGGUUCAAGGAAGCAGGAAAAAUCACCUUGAGGACUGAUGGUGAAAGUCCCAAAAAUGUAUCUUGAUUACUUUGAUGUCUUGUAAAUUGACGUCUUUUUGAAAUUUUCAAAGAUUUUCCAUCAUCCUUUAUGGACAAUUUAUUUAAUAUUUCGAACAGUAUUUAGUGUUCACUGGUUCUCCUUUCAGGGUGUCUGCAGGUCUGGAAAACCGGGAAAACCGGGAAAUAUCAGGGAAUUUGAUCACUGUCUGGAAAACCGGGAAAAGUCAGGGAAU